GAUGAACGCUGGCGGCGUGCCUAAUACAUGCAAGUCGAGCGAAAAGACGAGGAGCUUGCUCCUCUGACGUUAGCGGCGGACGGGUGAGUAACACGUGGAUAACCUACCUAUAAGACUGGGAUAAUUUCGGGAAACAGGAGCUAAUACCGGAUAAUAUAUUGAACCGCAUGGUUCAAUAGUGAAAGACGGUUUUGCUGUCACUUAUAGAUGGAUCCGCGCCGCAUUAGCUAGUUGGUAAGGUAACGGCUUACCAAGGCGACGAUGCGUAGCCGACCUGAGAGGGUGAUCGGCCACACUGGAACUGAGACACGGUCCAGACUCCUACGGGAGGCAGCAGUAGGGAAUCUUCCGCAAUGGGCGAAAGCCUGACGGAGCAACGCCGCGUGAGUGAUGAAGGUCUUCGGAUCGUAAAACUCUGUUAUUAGGGAAGAACAAAUGUGUAAGUAACUAUGCACGUCUUGACGGUACCUAAUCAGAAAGCCACGGCUAACUACGUG
This 497-nucleotide ribosomal RNA is filed under the name uncultured bacterium. RNAcentral describes it as "partial 16S ribosomal RNA". It matches the Rfam family "Bacterial small subunit ribosomal RNA", at positions 28 to 507 of the family's 1533-position model. The record is from RNAcentral.